RNAcentral lists this ribosomal RNA (776 nucleotides) under uncultured bacterium. RNAcentral's name for it is "SSU rRNA". It matches the Rfam family "Bacterial small subunit ribosomal RNA", at positions 391 to 1170 of the family's 1533-position model. The record is from RNAcentral.
GCCAAGUAGCGUGAAGGACGACUGCCCUAUGGGUUGUAAACUUCUUUUAUGGGAGAAUAAAAUGCCUCAUGUAUGGGGUAUUGCAUGUAUCCCUUGAAUAAGCAUCGGCUAACUCCGUGCCAGCAGCCGCGGUAAUACGGAGGAUGCGAGCGUUAUCCGGAUUUAUUGGGUUUAAAGGGUGCGUAGGCGGGAUGUCCAGUCAGUCGUGAAAUAUGGAGGCUCAACCUUCAUCUUGCGAUUGAAACUGACAUUCUUGAGUAUGGACAAGGUGGGCGGAAUUCGUGGUGUAGCGGUGAAAUGCUUAGAUAUCACGAAGAACUCCGAUUGCGUAGGCAGCUCACCGGGGCAUGACUGACGCUGAGGCACGAAAGUUCGGUUAUCAAACAGGAUUAGAUACCCUGGUAGUCCGUACUGUAAACGAUGAAUACUCGCCGUCUGCGAUACACAGCAGGCGGUCAAGCGAAAGCAUUAAGUAUUCCACCUGGGGAGUACGCCGGCAACGGUGAAACUCAAAGGAAUUGACGGGGGCCCGCACAAGCGGAGGAACAUGUGGUUUAAUUCGAUGAUACGCGAGGGACCUUACCCGGGCUUGAAUUGCAGAGGAAUGUAGGUGAAAGCUUACCGCCGCAAGGUCUCUGUGAAGGUGCUGCAUGGUUGUCGUCAGCUCGUGCCGUGAGGUGUCGGCUUAAGUGCCAUAACGAGCGCAACCCUGAUGGUCAGUUACCAGCAUGUCAUGAUGGGGACUCUGACCAGACUGCCGUCGUAAGAUGUGANGA